RNAcentral lists this long non-coding RNA (299 nucleotides) under Marmota monax (woodchuck). The stretch from base 52 to 184 matches the Rfam family "Small nucleolar RNA SNORA61". The record is from RNAcentral. Lineage: Eukaryota; Metazoa; Chordata; Mammalia; Rodentia; Sciuridae.
GGAGUUGUGCUUUAGAUUAAGGUAAAGUUACCAUGGUAAAGUUACAUUUUGACCCUCUGGUUCCCUUUCCCAUCGGAUCUGAAUACUGGUCUUGGUGGUCGUAAAAGGAGGAAAAGUAAUACUGAAGCUGGCCUUAAUGGUGUUCUAGUCUGUUUUCUAACACAUGGGCUAAUUUCAAACAGGAGUGAAUGGAGUGAAUGGAGGAUAAGAGGAUGGAUGAGUGUGAAUGGAGGAUAAGAGGAUGAGUGUGAUGCUGUGUGCAUUUGAUUAGGAAUUGCUGGAUAAUGUUGUAUUUGAGG